GUCCACGCCGUAAACGAUGAGUGCUAGGUGUUGGGGUAUUGACCCCUCCAGUACCGCAGCUAACGCGUUAAGCACUCCGCCUGGGGAGUACGGCCGCAAGGCUAAAACUCAAAGGAAUUGACGGGGCCCGCACAAGCGGUGGAGUAUGUGGUUUAAUUCGACGCAACGCGCAAAACCUUACCUAGGUUAAAUCCACAAGAACCCACCAGAAAAGGUGGGGUGCCUUCGGGAGCUUGUGAGAAGGUGCUGCAUGGCUGUCGU
Molecule: ribosomal RNA, 261 nt
Filed under: uncultured bacterium
Lineage: Bacteria
Description: partial 16S ribosomal RNA
Rfam family: Bacterial small subunit ribosomal RNA
Source: RNAcentral